This 253-nucleotide ribosomal RNA is filed under the name uncultured bacterium. RNAcentral describes it as "partial 16S ribosomal RNA". It matches the Rfam family "Bacterial small subunit ribosomal RNA", at positions 524 to 776 of the family's 1533-position model. The record is from RNAcentral.
UACGUAGGGAGCAAGCGUUGUCCGGAUUCACUGGGUGUAAAGGGUGCGCAGGCGGAUUUGUUAGUCGGAGGUGAAAUCUCACGGCUUAACCGUGAAACUGCCUUUGAUACUGCAGAUCUUGAGUUUGGGAGAGGUUGAUGGAAUUCCAGGUGUAGCGGUGAAAUGCGUAGAUAUCUGGAAGAACACCAGUGGCGAAGGCGGUCAACUGGCCCAUAACUGACGCUCAGGCACGAAAGCGUGGGGAGCAAACAGG